RNAcentral lists this transfer RNA (73 nucleotides) under Schistocephalus solidus. It matches the Rfam family "tRNA". Rfam says of the family: Transfer RNA (tRNA) molecules are approximately 80 nucleotides in length. Their secondary structure includes four short double-helical elements and three loops (D, anti-codon, and T loops). Further hydrogen bonds mediate the characteristic L-shaped molecular structure. tRNAs have two regions of fundamental functional importance: the anti-codon, which is responsible for specific mRNA codon recognition, and the 3' end, to which the tRNAs corresponding amino acid is attached (by aminoacyl-tRNA synthetases). tRNAs cope with the degeneracy of the genetic code in two manners: having more than one tRNA (with a specific anti-codon) for a particular amino acid; and 'wobble' base-pairing, i.e. permitting non-standard base-pairing at the 3rd anti-codon position. Lineage: Eukaryota; Metazoa; Platyhelminthes; Cestoda; Diphyllobothriidea; Diphyllobothriidae. The record is from Rfam by way of RNAcentral.
GAGCCUGUGGCUCAGUGGUUAGAGCGUUAGACUUUUGAUCAAAGUGUCGUGGGUUCGAUUCUUGGCUGGUGUA